CCUACGGGGGGCAGCAGUGGGGAAUAUUGCACAAUGGGCGGAAGCCUGAUGCAGCAACGCCGCGUGCGGGAUGACGGCCUUCGGGUUGUAAACCGCUUUCGCCUGUGACGAAGCGUGAGUGACGGUAAUGGGUAAAGAAGCACCGGCUAACUACGUGCCAGCAGCCGCGGUGAUACGUAGGGUGCGAGCGUUGUCCGGAUUUAUUGGGCGUAAAGGGCUCGUAGGUGGUUGAUCGCGUCGGAAGUGUAAUCUUGGGGCUUAACCCUGAGCGUGCUUUCGAUACGGGUUGACUUGAGGAAGGUAGGGGAGAAUGGAAUUCCUGGUGGAGCGGUGGAAUGCGCAGAUAUCAGGAGGAACACCAGUGGCGAAGGCGGUUCUCUGGGCCUUUCCUGACGCUGAGGAGCGAAAGCGUGGGGAGCGAACAGGAUUAGAUACCCU
This 438-nucleotide ribosomal RNA is filed under the name Morganella morganii. RNAcentral's name for it is "bacterial SSU rRNA". It matches the Rfam family "Bacterial small subunit ribosomal RNA", at positions 338 to 788 of the family's 1533-position model. The record is from RNAcentral. Lineage: Bacteria; Pseudomonadati; Pseudomonadota; Gammaproteobacteria; Enterobacterales; Morganellaceae.